CGCCUACGGGGGGCAGCAGUAGGGAAUCUUCCACAAUGGGCGAAACCCUGAUGCAGCGACGCCGCGUGUGGGAAGACGGUCUUCUGGAUUGUAAACCACUGUCCCCAGGGACGAAAAUGACGGUACCUGGGGAGGAAGCUCCGGCUAACUACGUGCCAGCAGCCGCGGUAAUACGUAGGGAGCAAGCGUUGUCCGGAAUUACUGGGUGUAAAGGGAGCGUAGGCGGGGAUGCAAGUUGGGUGUCAAAACUACCGGCUCAACCGAUAGUCGAACUCAAAACUGCAGCUCUUGAGUGAAGUAGAGGG
This 305-nucleotide ribosomal RNA is filed under the name uncultured bacterium. Its description in RNAcentral is "bacterial SSU rRNA". It matches the Rfam family "Bacterial small subunit ribosomal RNA", at positions 336 to 658 of the family's 1533-position model. The record is from RNAcentral.